GUGAGAAGCCCGGGAGACACUGGCACAGCUCCUGGCAACAUCGGGGCAAACCCAAACUGUGUGUCAGCAGAUUUAGGAUGAGGACGGUCUGAAGCAGCCGCUCCUCUUCUUAGGUCUUUGGGGAAAAGCAUGACUGCCAGAGAAUGCUGUGUGCCCUGCGUUAAGACCUGUUAGACGAGGGGACUCUGCUGGGAAUAAGGACAGAGCUUCUCCUUGGAUAGGACUUCCAUGCUGUAGACUUUGACACCUACUCAGCAAACACCCAGGGGAACAGCUGGGAAGAGUCCGGCAGGGGCGUGACAUGGAAACAGGAGACAGGAGAUGUAGGUCUUCCUGAAUCUGGAGAGUGUGGCAUGGAUUCAAGUCUGACGUAAGAUACCAUGAUCGUGUAUAAGAUUUGGAGGAUGUGUUUGUCUGUUCGACCACAUGCUCUCCCCAUUCCUGUUCUGAAACUAGAGUCCCAUGUUUUGUGUGUGAUAUGUGUCGUCAAUCCCCAUCCAUGAGGAGAUCCAGAAGCUUCCUUGCAUUUGCUUCAGAAGCCCCAUCUGUGGAUGUGAGUCAGUAAAGCCAAGGUUCUCGGAAAGGAAAGGCAGUGAUCCUCCCCACCCUGGUAUAAAACAUCUUUAAAGAGG
Molecule: long non-coding RNA, 632 nt
Organism: Lutra lutra (Eurasian river otter)
Lineage: Eukaryota; Metazoa; Chordata; Mammalia; Carnivora; Mustelidae
Exons: 3
Source: RefSeq, a predicted model, not a curated record